UGGGGAAUCUUGCACAAUGGGGGAAACCCUGAUGCAGCGACGCCGCGUGAGCGAUGAAGGCUUUCGAAUCGUAAAGCUCUGUCCUAUGGGAAGAUAAUGACGGUACCAUGGGAGGAAGCCCCGGCUAACUACGUGCCAGCAGCCGCGGUAAUACGUAGGGGGCGAGCGUUGUCCGGAAUUACUGGGCGUAAAGGGUUCGCAGGCGGCAUGGCAAGUCCGAUGUAAAAGGCGAAGGCUCAACCUUCGUAAGCAUCGGAAACUGUCAAGCUUGAGUGAAGGAGAGGCAAGUGGAAUUCCUAGUGUAGCGGUGGAAUGCGUAGAUAUUAGGAGGAAUACCGGUGGCGAAGGCGACUUGCUGGACUUCAACUGACGCUGAGGAACGAAAGCGUGGGUAGCAAACAGG
Molecule: ribosomal RNA, 403 nt
Filed under: Fusobacteriota bacterium
Lineage: Bacteria; Fusobacteriati; Fusobacteriota
Description: Fusobacteria bacterium partial 16S ribosomal RNA
Rfam family: Bacterial small subunit ribosomal RNA
Source: RNAcentral